UAUAAUAUAGCAAAAUUAAGUGCAUUGAUUUUAAGCAUCAAAUAUAAAGAAUUUUUUCUUUUAUUAUAA
RNAcentral lists this transfer RNA (69 nucleotides) under Dolichovespula flora. RNAcentral describes it as "tRNA-Leu". The record is from RNAcentral. Lineage: Eukaryota; Metazoa; Arthropoda; Insecta; Hymenoptera; Vespidae.